ACGGGUGCGUAACACGUGAGCAAUCUGCCGGGAAGUGGGGGAUAGCUCGCCGAAAGGCGAAUUAAUACCGCAUGUGGCCAGGGAGGACAUCCUUCCGAAGCCAAAGCCGCAAGGCGCUUCCUGAUGAGCUCGCGGCCUAUCAGCUAGUUGGUGAGGUAACGGCUCACCAAGGCUAUGACGGGUAGCUGGUCUGAGAGGACGACCAGCCACACUGGAACUGAGACACGGUCCAGACACCUACGGGUGGCAGCAGUCGAGAAUUUUUCACAAUGGGGGCAACCCUGAUGGAGCGACGCCGCGUGGAGGAUGAAGGUCUUCGGAUUGUAAACUCCUGUCAUGCGGGAACAAGAAAGUGAUAGUACCGCAAGAGGAAGAGACGGCUAACUCUGUGCCAGCAGCCGCGGUAAUACAGAGGUCUCGAGCGUUGUUCGGAUUCAUUGGGCGUAAAGGGUGCGCAGGCGGCUUGGUAAGUUGAGUGUGAAAUCCCGGGGCUUAACCUCGGAACUGCACUCAAUACUGCCAGGCUAGAGGAAUGUAGAGGAGAGUGGAAUUCACGGUGUAGCAGUGAAAUGCGUAGA
This 578-nucleotide ribosomal RNA is filed under the name uncultured bacterium. RNAcentral describes it as "bacterial SSU rRNA". It matches the Rfam family "Bacterial small subunit ribosomal RNA", at positions 102 to 694 of the family's 1533-position model. The record is from RNAcentral.